GCUGGCGGCAGGCCUAACACAUGCAAGUCGAACGGAGUUAUAUUGUAGCUUGCUAUGGUAUAACUUAGUGGCAGACGGGUGAGUAAUGUAUAGGAAUCUACCUAGUAGUACGGAAUAAUUGUUGGAAACGGCAACUAAUACCGUAUACGCCCUACGGGGGAAAAAUUUAUUGCUAUUAGAUGAGCCUAUAUUAGAUUAGCUAGUUGGUGGAGUAAUAGCCUACCAAGGCAAUGAUCUAUAGCUGAUCUGUGAGGAUGAUCAGCCACACUGGAACUGAGAUACGGUCCAGACUCCUACGGGAGGCAGCAGUGGGGAAUAUUGGCCAAUGGGCGAAAGCCUGAUCCAGCCAUGCCGCAUGAGUGAAGAAGGCCUUUGGGUUGUAAAGCUCUUUUAGUGAGGAAGAUAAUGACGGUACUCACAGAAGGAGUCCUGGCUAACUCCGUGCCAGCAGCCGCGGUAAUACGGAGAGGGCUAGCGUUAUUCGGAAUUAUUGGGCGUAAAGGGCGCGUAGGCGGAUUAGUAAGUUAAAAGUGAAAUCCCAAGGCUCAACCUUGGAACUGCUUUUAAAACUGCUAAUCUAGAGAUUGAAAGAGGAUAGAGGAAUUCCUAGUGUAGAGGUGAAAUUCGUAAAUAUUAGGAGGAACACCAGUGGCGAAGGCGUCUAUCUGGUUCAAAUCUGACGCUGAGGCGCGAAGGCGUGGGGAGCAAACAGGAUUAGAUACCCUGGUAGUCCACGCUGUAAACGAUGAAUGUUAAAUAUGGGAAGUUUUACUUUCUGUA
RNAcentral lists this ribosomal RNA (780 nucleotides) under uncultured bacterium. RNAcentral's name for it is "bacterial SSU rRNA". It matches the Rfam family "Bacterial small subunit ribosomal RNA", at positions 35 to 845 of the family's 1533-position model. The record is from RNAcentral.